AGGAGGAACAACCACAGUGGCCAGGCCAGCUCUGGAGCCCUGGAUUCAGCUCCCACAGUAACUACGGAGCUCAGUCUGCAGGGGCCUGGAGGCUUCAGGGGAGG
RNAcentral lists this microRNA precursor (104 nucleotides) under Canis lupus familiaris (dog). RNAcentral describes it as "mir-8834 microRNA precursor family". It matches the Rfam family "mir-8834 microRNA precursor family". RNAcentral also lists the same sequence under 1 other name. The record is from Rfam by way of RNAcentral. Lineage: Eukaryota; Metazoa; Chordata; Mammalia; Carnivora; Canidae.